RNAcentral lists this ribosomal RNA (163 nucleotides) under uncultured Russula. RNAcentral describes it as "partial 28S ribosomal RNA". It matches the Rfam family "Eukaryotic large subunit ribosomal RNA", at positions 1 to 160 of the family's 3401-position model. Lineage: Eukaryota; Fungi; Basidiomycota; Agaricomycetes; Russulales; Russulaceae. The record is from RNAcentral.
UUGACCUCAAAUCGGGUGAGACUACCCGCUGAACUUAAGCAUAUCAAUAAGCGGAGGAAAAGAAACUAACAAGGAUUCCCCUAGUAACUGCGAGUGAAGCGGGAAAAGCUCAAAUUUAAAAUCUGGUGGUCUUUGACCAUCCGAGUUGUAAUUUAGAGAAGCG